This 253-nucleotide ribosomal RNA is filed under the name uncultured bacterium. RNAcentral describes it as "partial 16S ribosomal RNA". It matches the Rfam family "Bacterial small subunit ribosomal RNA", at positions 524 to 776 of the family's 1533-position model. The record is from RNAcentral.
UACAGAGGUCCCAAGCGUUGUUCGGAUUCACUGGGCGUAAAGGGUGCGUAGGUGGCCAGGUAAGUUUGGUGUGAAAGCUCGGAGCUUAACUCCGAAAAGUCAUUGAAUACUAUCUGGCUGGAGGGUCGGAGGGGAGACUGGAAUUCCCAGUGUAGUGGUGAAAUACGUAGAGAUUGGGAAGAACACCAGUGGCGAAGGCGGCUAUCUGGACGGUUUCUGACACUAAGACUCGAAAGCGUGGGGAGCAAACAGG